Molecule: transfer RNA, 84 nt
Filed under: Gemmatimonadaceae bacterium
Lineage: Bacteria; Pseudomonadati; Gemmatimonadota; Gemmatimonadia; Gemmatimonadales; Gemmatimonadaceae
Description: tRNA-Leu
Rfam family: tRNA
About the family: Transfer RNA (tRNA) molecules are approximately 80 nucleotides in length. Their secondary structure includes four short double-helical elements and three loops (D, anti-codon, and T loops). Further hydrogen bonds mediate the characteristic L-shaped molecular structure. tRNAs have two regions of fundamental functional importance: the anti-codon, which is responsible for specific mRNA codon recognition, and the 3' end, to which the tRNAs corresponding amino acid is attached (by aminoacyl-tRNA synthetases). tRNAs cope with the degeneracy of the genetic code in two manners: having more than one tRNA (with a specific anti-codon) for a particular amino acid; and 'wobble' base-pairing, i.e. permitting non-standard base-pairing at the 3rd anti-codon position.
Source: RNAcentral
GCCCGGAUGGCGGAACUGGCAGACGCAGCGGACUCAAAAUCCGCCGAUCGCAAGGUCAUGGGAGUUCGAUUCUCCCUCUGGGCA